CACUGCAGUAUGAGCCUGAGAAUGACCAGAGAAGAAGGAAUGAUCACUGUGGAUGACCUGCAAAAGUUUCUGAAAUAGGGGAUCUGGUAUCCUCUGGUGGAGUUUAUGUGUGACCAUGCCUCCAUCCUAAACCAUCUGCUGUCCUUCUAGACCUGGCUUUUCAGCUCUUCAGCCUUGGGACUGUUGGCAUUUGGGACAGGAUAAGUCUUUGGGAAUGGGGGCUUCCCUAUGCAUUGUAGGAUUUUCAGCAGCAUCUCUGGCCUCCACCCACUGGAUCCCAGUGGUACUUGUCUCCCUCAUCUCCAGAUGUGACAAUAAAAAAUAUUGCCAAAUGCCACCUGAAGAGCAAAAUCACCUCCAGAUGCCACUUGAAUCACAGAGCAGAUCGAAAC
Molecule: long non-coding RNA, 392 nt
Filed under: Heterocephalus glaber (naked mole-rat)
Lineage: Eukaryota; Metazoa; Chordata; Mammalia; Rodentia; Bathyergidae
Description: lncRNA (ENSHGLG00000032790.1)
Source: RNAcentral